AACCAUGGCUGGAGCGCUGGUGUGCAAAGCGGCAGAGUAUGUCCGGAGCAAGGACUUCCAGGACUAUCUCAUGAGUACGCACUUCUGGGGCCCAGAUGCCAACUGGGGUCUCCCCAUUGGUGCUUUCAAUGACAUGAAGAAAUCUCCAGAGAUUAUCAGUGGGAAGAUGACUUUCGCCCUCUGUUGCUAUUCUCUGACAUUCAUGAGAUUUGCCUACAAGGUACAACCUCGAAACUGGCUUCUGUUUGCAUGCCAUAUAACAAAUGAAGUAGCUCAGCUCAUUCAGGGAGGACAACUUAUCAACUAUGAGUUGAGUAAGCAGCCAUCUGCAUAUCAGUGCAAGAACCAGCUCUUGAAAGGGACAGUGUUCCAGCCACUGCUGCAGCCACAGACCAUGUCAGCAUGAAUAGUCAUGCUGAGGGGAAAACACAGAAUGCUAUCUUUAAUGACCAUGCCAACAUUAUUGAAUAGCCGAGAGUCUCUAAACCAACUCUCUGCUGCCUUAUCAAUGCUAAACUUUAUUUGUCUUCAUCAAGAGUAGUUCAAAAUAUGCAACUAAUUUAAUAAUUUUGAAUGAUGGCUUUAUCUAUAGCAAUCUGUAGUAAUGUAUUAUCUAUUGGGAUUUGUGUAAUAAAAAAUCUAAGGGAACAAAAUUUUAUAACUACAAGCACUUAAGUACUCAAGAUUCUUGACUUUUUCUUUAAUGACAAUAGUAGAACCCUCAGUUGGUAACAUGUCUACACAUAAUUUCCAGUGAGAACAAAUGUCGGUGUUUUCCAUAACGUAAUUCAGAUCUGUAACUUAAUGGCAAUAAAUGGUUUAAAUAU
Mastomys coucha (southern multimammate mouse) is the source of this 827-nucleotide RNA transcript. It is a transcript of the gene named mitochondrial pyruvate carrier 1 pseudogene, with no coding region annotated. The transcript has a single exon. NCBI's taxonomy places the organism in Eukaryota, Metazoa, Chordata, Mammalia, Rodentia, Muridae. The record is from RefSeq and is a predicted model, not a curated record.